GGGGUUGUGGCUCAGUGGUAGAGUAUUCGCCUAGCAUGUGAAAGACGCUGGGUUCAAUCCUCAGCAUCACAU
This 72-nucleotide transfer RNA is filed under the name Marmota marmota marmota (Alpine marmot). It matches the Rfam family "tRNA". From Rfam's summary of the family: Transfer RNA (tRNA) molecules are approximately 80 nucleotides in length. Their secondary structure includes four short double-helical elements and three loops (D, anti-codon, and T loops). The record is from Rfam by way of RNAcentral. Lineage: Eukaryota; Metazoa; Chordata; Mammalia; Rodentia; Sciuridae. RNAcentral also lists the same sequence under 1 other name.